This 436-nucleotide ribosomal RNA is filed under the name uncultured Alloprevotella sp. RNAcentral describes it as "bacterial SSU rRNA". It matches the Rfam family "Bacterial small subunit ribosomal RNA", at positions 349 to 782 of the family's 1533-position model. The record is from RNAcentral. Lineage: Bacteria; Pseudomonadati; Bacteroidota; Bacteroidia; Bacteroidales; Prevotellaceae.
CAGCAGUGAGGAAUAUUGGUCAAUGGGCGGGAGCCUGAACCAGCCAAGUAGCGUGCGGGAUGAAGGCCCUUGUGGUCGUAAACCGCUUUUAUCAGUGAAUAAAGUGCACCACGUGUGGUGUCAUUGCAGGUAGCUGAAGAAAAAGGACCGGCUAAUUCCGUGCCAGCAGCCGCGGUAAUACGGAAGGUCCGGGCGUUAUCCGGAAUUAUUGGGUUUAAAGGGAGCGCAGGCGGGAGUAUAAGUCAGCUGUUAAAUAUCAGAGCCCAACUCUGUUAUGCAGUUGAAACUAUAUUUCUUGAGUACGCACAGGGAUGGCGGAAUUCAGGGUGUAGCGGUGAAAUGCUUAGAUAUCCUGAAGAACUCCGAUCGCGAAGGCAGCCAUCCGGAGCGUAACUGACGCUGAGGCUCGAAGGUGCGGGUAUCGAACAGGAUUAGA